Molecule: long non-coding RNA, 542 nt
Organism: Magnolia sinica
Lineage: Eukaryota; Viridiplantae; Streptophyta; Magnoliopsida; Magnoliales; Magnoliaceae
Exons: 3
Source: RefSeq, a predicted model, not a curated record
UGAUAUCCUGGCUUUUUGUCAUUUCAUUCUUAUAAUUUUUUUGUUCUGUCAAUGCAGCUAGUUACAACAUUGGUGUAGUUAUCUUGCUCUGGGCACCUGUAGUAUUGAUUGCAUUGUGGAAUAUGCAUCCAUUAUUCAAAGAAAGGGCGACAUUCCAAGCACUCACACUUUCUCUCCUUGCUAGCUAUAUUGGCUGACAAACUAAAGAAGUCAGUGGAGGAUGAAAUUCAUUUUCUCAAGGGAAGGGUUUCAGAACUUGAAAGUGAUCUUGUGUUGAAGUCCACGGAAGUUACAUCUGCAGUUUCAAGGAAAGAAAAGCUUUAUCUUCUGCAUUUGCUGAAAUUGACCGUCUGAAGGAAGAAAAUUCUGUAAAAAUGUAAGCAUUAUUGAAUGCAUAUGGAGGGUGUUUACUGUGUUGGAGUGUAUUUGUUUCUUGCACAUGAGGGAAGGCCUUAGUUGUAAUUCUUAUGAUAGGUUGAGCAAAGUGAAGUAUUGUUUAUUUAGAAAUGUGAAUGUAGGAUGCAUUGUAUGAUUUGAUUGUU